CCGGUUUGAGAGUUUUCCUCAGUUGAGCUUUUAUAACUGAAAUAGGAGCAUACAUCAGUCCUGCUGUCUGUGGGGUGUAGAGAUGAAGAAAGAUUUUCAAACCCUUGAACUUUCUUGCCUGAAAGGAGUAACUGGAAAGCGUAUUAGCAUCAAGGACAACCUGGAUGGAACCAAAUAUAGGUCCUGUAUGUCCACAUAUCAAAGAGACUGGACCGUGAAGCAAACUGUUAAGGUAAAUAAAUCAAAGCUCAAAUGUUGACUUGAUGUCUUUAUAAGGCAGUGGUUCUCAACCCGCGGCCCGUCACGAAUUCAAAUGCGG
This 319-nucleotide long non-coding RNA is filed under the name Sinocyclocheilus grahami. RNAcentral's name for it is "lncRNA (ENSSGRG00000042923.1)". The record is from RNAcentral. Lineage: Eukaryota; Metazoa; Chordata; Actinopteri; Cypriniformes; Cyprinidae.